Pseudophryne corroboree (corroboree frog) is the source of this 960-nucleotide long non-coding RNA. RefSeq lists it as uncharacterized. The transcript has 4 exons. The record is from RefSeq and is a predicted model, not a curated record. NCBI's taxonomy places the organism in Eukaryota, Metazoa, Chordata, Amphibia, Anura, Myobatrachidae.
GCAGCAGUGGGGACAGGACGGCGCAGCAGGGAAGGGAUGCAAAGCAGGGUGGGCGCCUCUCCCUCCCAGCGCCUCCCUGCACUGCAUCCCUUCGCUGAGCGGGUAGCGCCGGGCCAUACUAAUCAGCUCAGGAUCAUUAUGUGGCCUCUCCUCACUUCUGCCAUGAGAACACCAGGACCCGGCCUACUGAUGCCAACACUGGUGCACCCAUACACUGGUGCACCACAACAGCCGGCAUACCCUGGUUCCAACAGGGUUAUCACUACAUCCUGUACCUGCUGCAUUACUGUUUACCCUGUUUCUACCUUGUUAAUAAAGCAGUUCUCUUGUUAAGUCAUCUGCCGUAUGGACUAGCUUCCAUUUGCACACCACUGACAUCUACCACUGUAGUGUCUGCUAAUACUUUGCAGAGUUGCAGAUAUGACACAAUGACCCUGCCAGUGCCAGUUGCAGUGCCUCUUAAGGAGGUCUAAAGGACAUAUGUAAGGUCUCUACCACCGGAGGCACUGUGCACUUGGCAUAUUGAACAGCAACGCUCAAAUUAUGUGAUGAAGAAGGAGCCUGAGGACGGUGGCCCAGACAACCUCAGCAUAAAGAGACCCUCCCCGCAAGUGGGGAACUAGCUCCUCCAGAAAGAGGAGUCACACCCACUGAAGUUGAAACCACACAACCCUGGAAGAAGUGCCUCACCCCAGCAAGAGGAAUCUAAAUGAUUAGAUGAGGAGCCCAAAUCCAUGCAAGCGGAGACCAUUUAUUGUACUGUUUAUAAGUGAAUGUUCACAUAAUAAUUAAAUUACAAAAAAAGGUAAUUUUAUUGUAUAUACAUUUAUUGUUCAAUUUAUUUCUACGUUUAUUUGCCAAUACUACAGUAUGCUGUUUAGACUGGCCAAUUAGUAACCAAAAAUACAAAAUAAAAAUGUAUUAGAGAAAUAAUAAGUGUCUUGUAAAAAUCGUUUAUUG